UACGUAGGGUGCGAGCGUUAAUCGGAAUUACUGGGCGUAAAGCGUGCGUAGGCGGUUCGUUGUGUCUGUGGUGAAAGCCCCGGGCUUAACCUGGGAAUGGCCAUGGAAACUGGCGAGCUGGAGUGUGGCAGAGGGGGGUGGAAUUCCGCGUGUAGCAGUGAAAUGCAUAGAGAUGCGGAGGAACACCGAUGGCGAAGGCAGCCCCCUGGGCUAACACUGACGCUGAGGCACGAAAGCGUGGGGAGCAAACAGG
RNAcentral lists this ribosomal RNA (253 nucleotides) under uncultured bacterium. RNAcentral describes it as "partial 16S ribosomal RNA". It matches the Rfam family "Bacterial small subunit ribosomal RNA", at positions 524 to 776 of the family's 1533-position model. The record is from RNAcentral.